AAAAAAACGUUAUGUUGAUGGAAUUAAGUUCCUAUCGAAAAAAAUCCAAAACACCAAUGUAAUUUUAAACACUUUAUUAAAUGGCUCCGAAAGUAUUCAACGAUUUGAAAAACUAAAUCAUAAAACUAUUAUUUCAACGCAGAUGGGCUGUGCCAAAAGAUAAUAAAUUGUUUUUGACGCCAAUGGGUAAUUCCCACCAAAACUAUCUUCAUUGAAAAACGUUGGUUCUUGAUAUAAAAAAAAAAAAAUCAAUAUCGUUAUGAUUAAUUUUUGGUUGCAACGCGUAAAAGUUUUCAUUUUAAUUUUCAAUCAGAUCGUUUGAAAAUUCGAGCCAUUUAACUAAAGCUUAUGAAGUUAAGUUGAUUAAUUU
Cinara cedri is the source of this 370-nucleotide non-coding RNA. NCBI's taxonomy places the organism in Eukaryota, Metazoa, Arthropoda, Insecta, Hemiptera, Aphididae. The record is from the annotation of a GenBank genome assembly.